CCUUUUAUUGGCCGGCUUCAGCUUCCUCGGCGCGCGCGCGGCCGCUUGGAAAGGGAACGCGGCGCGGCGCGGCAUGUUCGCCCCGCUGAGGUGGCUCCGCGAGGGGCCCCGUCACGUGCUGGUGUGCGAGGGGAGCCACGUGCGGCACGAGCGGUCCCGCCACGCGACCCGCGUGCGAGAUCACGCCUUCAACUGCCAGGUGUCUUUUUUUAUCCCUGACUGUGGAGCAGUUCCAGAAGCACUAAAAAAUACAGUUGCAGAUAUUGGGCAGUACUACUUGGUGAAGAAUUUGUCACUUCAUGAAUUAGUUACGCAGGAAUUUAUUAACACAUUUGUGAAGAAAGGUUCAUGUUAUGCUCUUACGUAUAAAACAAGGAUUGACCAAGACAAUACAGCUGCUUUGCUACCAACAGGCAAAUUAAUUAUAUCAGUAGACAAGGAUACUUAUGAAGAGCUUGGACUGCAAGGCCGUCCUUCUCUGUAUUCUGGUAAAAAGCCGAUGAGAUACAUUAUUACUGUUGACUUGACUGAUUCAACCUUCAGUCCUGAUAGUAAGAAAUACAACAGAGUGAUCUGGGCCUUGAAGGAAAAAAUGCCACUAGAGUUUGAUUUCUUGAUGGCUUGGCACCAAACAGGAUCAGAAGAAUCAAGUUUGAUGUCAUACUUUUCCAAAAACCAAAUACAGGCCCUUCAGCCAAAAAUAACAUUCAGCACAUUAAGAAAUGUGCAGUGUCCAGUUCUGGAAAGCAAUAAAUUGGAAGGAGAGCCAGAAACAGCAUGCAGUGCUCAGGAAUUAUUUGAAUGGCUAGGUGCCAUUUUCACUCACACUGACUUAGAAAAUACAUCUUCUAGUUUCUUAUCAACAUAUUCAUGUCCUCAACCGAGCACAACAGUAGAACAAGCUUUGUUGUGUACAAUAACAGGCUUUAUACUUCCAGAGAAGAUAAUUCAUUUGUUUGAACAAAUAUGUUCCUAUUUUGAAGAACCAAAGUUGGCUCACUGGAUAUCUCUCAUUGUUCAUGGCUUUGCUGACAGCCCUGUUUCCUGGAAAGAAAGUGAACAUGGUUUCCUAAAAGGCGGGGAGAAUUUAUACAACUUCGUAAUUUUUAGGAGCUUGGACUACUGGCUUCAAAUGGCAGUUGGAGCAUAUGAUGAUUGUCCUUAAAUAAUGACUACUGAAGGCAUUCAAAGACACAGACACAUUGAUUACAUCUCCAGCCACGGCAGGAGGGAAGAAAGACAUGCACCCUUCCACAUGGAGACCCAGGGCUGUAACUCUAUUGCUGCAUAAAGCAAAUCAUACAGCAAGAUCUGAAAGAGCAUUUGAGACAUUCUGUUAUGUCAGUUUUCAAGUGAGAGGUCAUAUUUCAUUAAUUUGCAUUUUCCUUUCUCCUUUGAAAAUGGGCAAGGGAAUCAAUCUGACAUUCAAAUGGGAAACCUAGAAGUGUGCCCUAAACAAAUCUGCCAGGCUUCAUUCCAGAAUCUCUAGUGUCCAGUGGAAUCAAAACAUUUACAAGGCCUAAGAGUCAACGCAAGUGAAGUUCGUAGCUGAGACUGAACUUUCCACUUGACACCGAUGGAAAGAACUAAUCCUGUUAUAUCUACACUGAAUCAUCUAAGAGAACAGCAGCAGCUGCCUCACUGCUGAACAGGAUUUGGAUCUGGUGUAACUACACUGGCUUAACUUACACCAGCUUGCUUUAUGCAGGCUUCCUGUGCAUACAAUUGCUCCCCAAAUGCCUUAACUGUGCUGCAACCCAGGUGUGUGUUUAAGAAUUAUGACAGAAAAAUAGUAUUUUCAGUAAUGAUUAUGUAACUCAGGAAAAAAACCAAAUAAUGUUUGUUGCAUCUCUGACUCUGGUUCAUUAAUAAGAAGCUCAACCUAUGCAUAGCGUAGCCAAGAGGGUUGCAUUGAAUACUAUUUUUUAUUAUGUAAGUAGGACUUAUGCAGGGUGGAACCCUGUAGAUUUAACCCUAAAUAUUUCUUUGAUGUGAUGGCAGGGUGGUGGGGGGUUGGUUAUUUUUGGUCUGUCUUAUCCAAGCAAAUAUAAACAGAAACAAAACACCGCUAUGGACACUCUGUUCAAAUAUCAAAGCAGUUUAGAACAAGAUAUUUUUGGCUAGCUCACUCAGCACAACUGUGAUCCUUACUCUAAAAUUUAAGACUAAAAUAAAGCUGCCGGGGUUCACUUUCCAAAUUUAUGUAAAAAUUCCCACAACAUGUCAAAUAGCUUAUUUAAAAGCUGUAUUACAAGUGUGGACAGCUUUCAGGUGGACAUUAGGAUAGUUAAAUGUUCAUGGGAUCAGUUCACACUCACUUCCCCCUCCAAACAAGCUGUCCCAUGAUAUAGUUGGGCACAUAUUUCAUAUAACUACAGUACGAACAAGACUUUAUGCAGAUACAACAGCUAUUCUUGCAUUCAUGGCCCCUGAGAAAAAUGCUGGCAUAAUUACGGAAACUGCUUCUACCUGCAUAUUUUAAAAUUUUAUUUAAUUAUUGUUUGAUUUUAUACCAAUCUUAUAUAUCUGAUGUUAGCUGCCCUGAGCCUGACUUUGGCUGGGGAGGGCGGGAUAUAAAUAAAAGUUUGUUGUUGUUGUUGUUGUUAUUUGCACACAGCCCAAUUGGCUUCCCCAUGUUUUGGGGCGUAUUCAGGGCUUGGGAGGGCUCAGCACUGCUCAGACACUGAGAAAAUUCACUAUGCGAAGUGUUCCUUAGCCACUAUAAUAACUACAAAUCACUUAUUCAGCCUUAAGUGAAAUAAGGUAAAAGAAACUUACAACUGAAUUACAUGUGACAAGUUCCUUAAUUCGAACCAUGACUUCUUGUGUGAAUGUUCCUGGCCAAAAAACUUGCGACACCAGUCCCUUGGCACAUGCUUCUUGUGCAGUCAGUUUCCUUCCACUGAAUAACAUUUCAUUCGCCUGAGGAAAAUAGCAAUGUUUUUUGUAACAUGAAAUAUGACGAGGUUAUCAAAACAUUUUGAAUACAAACCUUGCUGUUUCUAGAAAUGCCUCUACAGGUUGGAACAAUUUACUGGCCUGGACUAUUUCUUCUUGUUUUGUUUUUCCUUUUCCAUGGACUGAAACAAAAUCAAAGACUAAAUCUACCACUAAUAAAUAUUUACUGCUAGCGUGCAAAUCCCUGUCUAGCAGUGACACAGUUACAGUGCAAGGGGUUUGCAAUAUAAGCAUGGCAUACAAUUUAGGUCUCUCAACUGAAUUGCUUUUAAAAUGUGCACUCUGCUAAAAUCUCAAUAUAGAUCUUUGCAUCAGAUAAUGAAGGAAUUGGGAAACAACCAUUAAAGAAAGAAAGAAAAAACCCCAAACAUUCUGAGAAAGGUAUUUUUUUAAAAUAUAUUUUCUUUCACUGUCCUUAUCAUUGUUAAAUAAAUGAGCAAAACAAGCAAGUAUGCCCUUAAUUACAACCUUCACUGAUUCAGACUGGCUUAGUUGAUUGACCAGCCAAUUAAAGCCUGUAGCAGUAGACAAGCAUGAAAGCAAAUGGCAUGGUGGGAUAAACAGAAACUCUGCAUAAGCAGCAGAUACUAAAUGAUGAUGCCAAAAAUUUGCUUAAUAAAUAAAUAAUGCUCUUAAAAACUUUUUUUAUCCUGUAAAUACAUUACAUACUUGAAAGAUCCUGCAAAUGCAAUGAGUUUCACAUUUUUAAUUGGCCUUAAUCUAGGCAGUAUUAUGUAUCUUUAAUUAUGAAAAUUCGGUGUAUUUUCAUAUUGGAUGCCGAUGAGAAUUGCACGCCCCAAUUCCUCACAUCAAUGGAUCUUGUAGGUAAAAAUUGUUGGUGCCAAAGUAAGGUAAACACAUACUGCAUUAUGACAUAACCAUUUAUAAUAAGAGACUAUGGGGACAAGUAGUGCAUAAAUCAUCCAAAUAAAUAAAUACCUAACUUGUUCCUGAAACAGAGCUCGCUCCAUUCAAUGAGAGCAUCUCUUCUUUUUUUAAAUUGAGACAAAGCAUUAUUAUAGGCAGAUCACAAACUUUGAAACAAAAGUUUGUAAAAAUAGGCACUUUGAUUUCUGUUGUUCUUGUUUAAUCUGGAAAGCAGUCUAGUUUGUACAGGUAAAAUUGAGAACAAUUUCCACUUGAAAUCAUUUCAGCUAGCAGGACUUUGGCUUAAAUGAUCCAGUGCCAUCACAGUCUGCUGCCCAUUUAAGUUUCAGCCAAACACCCACUUGCAUACACUUGAGUAUCAAACUUCUUUGUGCAUCAGAUUACGGCAUACUGUUUUUUCAGUGAAAGCCAAGUUUGGUUGCACGCAACACAAGCAAGUUUGGGUGAGCACACAAAUGCCAAUUUUUAUUUUUAUGACUUCAAAAAUGGGACAAAUUGGGGGCCAAACAGGACAGGGGGCUCUGUACCGCCAAAAUGGUACUGUUCCUUUUUUAAAGGGAAGGGGUGGCAACCCUAGUUCCAAUGCAACUGAGCUGCUACUUCUUAUACAAAAUACCGGGGAUGCCAAUUGUUAUACAAGUUACCAUGUAAAUAUUAUAGAUGUAUUUUAAUUUGGACACACUAGCUUUUCAGACUUUAAAAUAAUGGCUUGAAUGAAUUUAAACUGUGAUAAAAAUUCCAGAUAUUGUGAAAACUGAAAUAUGGAAAGUGAAUUCAAAUUAAUUUGUGAACUAAACAUGAUGCAUGAAAAGAGCCGACAGACUGAACAUAUUUUAGCAAGACUAAUGCUUGGUUAAAUAAUGGAGUGGCUUUGAGCCAUAUCACAAAAUGACUCACAGACAUGCAAAUGGGCGUCCCCAAGUUUACAAACGUGCAAGCUAAGGCUCAAGAAUAUAAAAUCCUCUCUUAUGGCUGUGGGGUGAAACAGUGCUAGUGUUGCACAAGAAAGCCCACAAACCUUUGAUUUGUAGCCGUAGUCUCACCCAAAUGUGUUAUCUAAUAUCCAACUGCACAGUCACUAUCAAAUGUACCAUAAAAAAGAUUUUUAUAUAUAAUUUUUUUAUGUGUUAAAGAUCCCCCACGCCAGGAAAUGUAAAGCUUUUUUUCUAUUUAAAGUGUGCUAUACAAGUUGAAAGAGUAAGCUGUUAAUCAUAUAAACAAGUCGUGCAAAAUUCCAAAUGCAUGUACACAUUUAUAAACUCAAAGCAUGAUGAAGACCCUCACCCAAGAGUCCAAAACUCAAUUAGAAUUGUUGCAACUUCCUGAAAUCACAGCAUUUUUUAACUCUUUGGAGGGUUGAAGAACUUUGAAUAAUUAAUACAGAGACUGUAACAAGACAGCCACACAAAGGACCUCUCACAACAAAGGACACCCAAAAUGUCACCAGCGUUAUCACAAAAUCAAAUCAGUGCUACUAUUAACAUAUGCCAUUCAGCUCAGUUUACAAGCUUGCUAAACUGCAAUAGUUCCACUGAUGUCACUAACAUCCAAAUCUUGACAGGACCAUUACUACCCAAAGGAGGUAUUUACAUGCCCAAAGUACGUUCUGCAUGAGCAUCUAUGGAAAUGUGAUUACAGCUGUAAAUCACAGGAGGUUUGGAAAUUCGUUUUUUUAAAAAAACGGGGGGGGGGGGAGGAGAAGCAGCAGCUUUGAUAAUUCCUAUACACCUCAAGAAAGAAAAUGUAAAAAGGCAGGGGGAAGGGUGUAUGAAAACACCAGGCUUCAAACAAGAAGCUGUGAUUAGAUAUCAGAGGUUUUCCUAUUAUUAUGUUAUCUGAACAUGCCAGAAUGCAGAUAUAAGCAUUUCAGUGCAUGAGAAAAUAUGAGCAAAAACUGAGCUGUCAACUUUUAAAGAUGCCAACUGAUUAGACAGAAGCUCUAUUCAAAUGUCAUCAAUUUUACCCUGUGCAAUUAAAUGCAUUUCUAAACCUAUGAGAGUUUUAUCAGCAGGAGCUUGCAGAGAGGAAGACUAAAUUUAAGCAAAUGUUACUUUAACAAAAAUGAACGGUUCAGCCACAUGUGUUUACAAUGGUAUUCAAGACCAAUUAAAUGUCAUUUAUCAUUCCAAAUGAUACUGCUCCUUUUUGACAAUGGGAAAUCUGAUCACAGAUCUGCCAUGUAAUGUGUAGUUUAGCCUUCCUGGGAAGCCAAAUCCCAUGACAAAUAUUUCAGUGCUGUUUAAUUAUUAUUUCUGUCUAUCCUGGUGAGGGGAGAAACGACUACAUUGGCAUUUUUAUUAUCUCCUAUUCUUAGCUCAAGCAAGUCUGAAAUAUCUGUGAAGACUGCACUGUUGGUUUAUCGAUGAGAAACAAUGCACAGCCAAUAGAUUAUUUUGCCCUUUACAAUCAUGCAUCUUGGCUCUGAAUAUUGGAAGGCUUGUUCCCUGCCUUGCUAGACUUUUCCCACCUGGCCUGGGAGGGUGGGGCCCUGACUGACUCCAGCUACAAAACCUGAGGCUGCUGAACAGAAUUCUUGGCUUGGGUAUUGUUUGGGCAGGGGAUUGUUGCUGUUAAUUUUUUGUGUCUUUAUGUCGGCUCUUACAUUGUUCAAUUUGGUUGUGUACUUUUUGAUGUUUUUGUCUACUGUUUAUGACUACUUUUGUUAUGUUUGGAGUUACAUAAUUUUCCAUAAGCUGCCUUCUGCCUUGAGCAUGGAUUAAACUUUGGAAAGGUGGCAUACAAAUAAAAUGACUGAUUGAUUGAUGUA
Molecule: RNA transcript, 6613 nt
Organism: Podarcis raffonei (Aeolian wall lizard)
Lineage: Eukaryota; Metazoa; Chordata; Lepidosauria; Squamata; Lacertidae
Gene: RPP40
Gene name: ribonuclease P/MRP subunit p40
Exons: 13
Source: RefSeq, a predicted model, not a curated record